AGCGGCCGCGGUAAUUCCAGCUCCAAUAGCGUAUAUUAAAGUUGCUGCAGUUAAAAAGCUCGUAGUUGAAUUUCGGGACCAUCAUGUCGGUCGUGCCUCGGUACGUACUGGCAUUGUUGGUUUCUACCUUCUGACGAACCAUGAUGUCAUUUAUUUGGUGUCGUGGGAAAUCAGGACUGUUACUUUGAAAAAUUAGAGUGUUUAAAGCAGGCUCACGCUUGAAUACAUUAGCAUGGAAUAAUGAAAUAGGACGUUUGAUUCUAUUUUGUUGGUUUCUAGGAUCGACGUAAUGAUUAAUAGGGAUAGUUGGGGGCAUUAGUAUUCAAUUGUCAGAGGUGAAAUUCUUGGAUUUAUUGAAGACUAACUACUGCGAAAGCAUUUGCCAAGGAUGUUUUCAUUAAUCAAGAACGAAAGUUAGGGGAUCGAAGACGAUCAGAUACCGUCGUAGUCUUAACCAUAAACUAUGCCGACUAGGGAUCGGAUGAUGUUAAUUUUUAAUGACUCAUUCGGCGUCCG
This 516-nucleotide ribosomal RNA is filed under the name uncultured Glomus. RNAcentral's name for it is "SSU rRNA". It matches the Rfam family "Eukaryotic small subunit ribosomal RNA", at positions 569 to 1089 of the family's 1831-position model. Lineage: Eukaryota; Fungi; Glomeromycota; Glomeromycetes; Glomerales; Glomeraceae. The record is from RNAcentral.